CCUACGGGAGGCAGCAGUGGGGAAUAUUGGACAAUGGGCGCAAGCCUGAUCCACCCAUGCCGCGUGAGUGAUGAAGGCCUUAGGGUUGUAAAGCUCUUUCAGCGAGGAGGAUAAUGACGUUACUCGCAGAAGAAGCCCCGGCUAACUUCGUGCCAGCAGCCGCGGUAAU
RNAcentral lists this ribosomal RNA (169 nucleotides) under uncultured bacterium. RNAcentral describes it as "partial 16S ribosomal RNA". It matches the Rfam family "Bacterial small subunit ribosomal RNA", at positions 338 to 524 of the family's 1533-position model. The record is from RNAcentral.